UGGGGAAUAUUGGACAAUGGGCGAAAGCCUGAUCCAGCCAUGCCGCGUGUGUGAAGAAGGUCUUCGGAUUGUAAAGCACUUUACGUUGGGAGGAAGGGCAGUAAGCGAAUACCUUGCUGUUUUGACGUUACCGACAGAAUAAGCACCGGCUAACUCUGUGCCAGCAGCCGCGGUAAUACAGAGGGUGCAAGCGUUAAUCGGAAUUACUGGGCGUAAAGCGCGCGUAGGUGGUUCGUUAAGUUGAAUGUGAAAGCCCCGGGCUCAACCUGGGAACUGCAUCCAAAACUGGCGAGCUAGAGUAGGGCAGAGGGUGGUGGAAGUUUCUGUGUAGCAGUGGAAUGCGUAGAUAUAGGAGGGAACACCAGUGGCGAAGGCGACCACCUGGGCUCAUACUGACACUGAGGUGCGAAAGCGUGGGGAGCAAACAGG
RNAcentral lists this ribosomal RNA (429 nucleotides) under Pseudomonadota bacterium. RNAcentral's name for it is "Proteobacteria bacterium partial 16S ribosomal RNA". It matches the Rfam family "Bacterial small subunit ribosomal RNA", at positions 355 to 776 of the family's 1533-position model. Lineage: Bacteria; Pseudomonadati; Pseudomonadota. The record is from RNAcentral.